UUGGAGGGCAAGUCUGGUGCCAGCAGCCGCGGUAAUUCCAGCUCCAAUAGCGUAUAUUAAAGUUGUUGCAGUUAAAAAGCUCGUAGUUGAAUUUCGGGAUCAAUAAGUCGGUCAUGCCGUUGGUAUGAACUGAUUUUAUUGAUUCUCACCUUCUGAUGAACCGUAAUGUCAUUAAUUUGAUGUUGCGGGGAAUUAGGACUGUUACCUUGAAAAAAUUAGAGUGUUUAAAGCAGGCUAACGCUUGAAUACAUUAGCAUGGAAUAAUGAAAUAGGACAUCAGAUUCUAUUUUGUUGGUUUCUAGGAUCGAUGUAAUGAUUAAUAGGGAUAGUUGGGGGCAUUAGUAUUCAAUUGUCAGAGGUGAAAUUCUUGGAUUUAUUGAAGACUAACUACUGCGAAAGCAUUUGCCAAGGAUGUUUUCGUUAAUCAAGAACGAAAGUUAGGGGAUCGAAGACGAUCAGAUACCGUCGUAGUCUUAACCAUAAACUAUGCCGACUAGGGAUCGGAUGAUGUUAAUUUUUUAAUGACUCAUUCGGCACCUUAUGGGAAACCAAAG
RNAcentral lists this ribosomal RNA (554 nucleotides) under uncultured Glomus. RNAcentral describes it as "SSU rRNA". It matches the Rfam family "Eukaryotic small subunit ribosomal RNA", at positions 548 to 1103 of the family's 1831-position model. The record is from RNAcentral. Lineage: Eukaryota; Fungi; Glomeromycota; Glomeromycetes; Glomerales; Glomeraceae.